CAGUCGAACGAUCUCUUCGGAGAUAGUGGCGCACGGGUGCGUAACGCGUGGGAAUCUGCCCAAGGGUCCAGGAUAACAGUUAGAAAUGACUGCUAAUACUGGAUAAUGUCUUCGGACCAAAGAUUUAUUGCCCUUGGAUGAGCCCGCGUUGGAUUAGCUAGUUGGUGGGGUAAAGGCCUACCAAGGCGACGAUCCAUAGCUGGUCUGAGAGGAUGAUCAGCCACACUGGGACUGAGACACGGCCCAGACUCCUACGGGAGGCAGCAGUGGGGAAUAUUGGACAAUGGGCGAAAGCCUGAUCCAGCAAUGCCGCGUGAGUGAUGAAGGCCUUAGGGUUGUAAAGCUCUUUUACCAGGGAUGAUAAUGACAGUACCUGGAGAAUAAGCUCCGGCUAACUCCGUGCCAGC
RNAcentral lists this ribosomal RNA (407 nucleotides) under bacterium BCM33. RNAcentral's name for it is "bacterial SSU rRNA". It matches the Rfam family "Bacterial small subunit ribosomal RNA", at positions 59 to 512 of the family's 1533-position model. The record is from RNAcentral.